CGACGAGUGGCGAACGGGUGAGUAAUAUAUCGGAACGUGCCCAGUAGUGGGGGAUAGCCCGGCGAAAGCCGGAUUAAUACCGCAUACGACCUACGGGUGAAAGCGGGGGAUCGUAAGACCUCGCGCUAUUGGAGCGGCCGAUAUCAGAUUAGGUAGUUGGUGGGGUAAAAGCCUACCAAGCCGACGAUCUGUAGCUGGUCUGAGAGGACGACCAGCCACACUGGGACUGAGACACGGCCCAG
RNAcentral lists this ribosomal RNA (242 nucleotides) under uncultured bacterium. Its description in RNAcentral is "partial 16S ribosomal RNA". It matches the Rfam family "Bacterial small subunit ribosomal RNA", at positions 89 to 334 of the family's 1533-position model. The record is from RNAcentral.